This 465-nucleotide ribosomal RNA is filed under the name uncultured bacterium. RNAcentral describes it as "partial 16S ribosomal RNA". It matches the Rfam family "Bacterial small subunit ribosomal RNA", at positions 28 to 507 of the family's 1533-position model. The record is from RNAcentral.
GACGAACGCUGGCGGCGCGCUUAACACAUGCCAGUCGUACGGUAAGGCCCUUUCGGGGGUACACGAGUGGCGAACGGGUGAGUAACACGUGAGUAACCUGCCCACAACUUUGGGAUAACGCUAGGAAACUGGUGCUAAUACUGGAUAUGUGCUCCUGCUGCAUGGUGGGGGUUGGAAAGCUCCGGCGGUUGUGGAUGGACUCGCGGCCUAUCAGCUUGUUGGUGGGGUAGUGGCCUACCAAGGCGGCGACGGGUAGCCGGCCUGAGAGGGUGACCGGCCACAUUGGGACUGAGAUACGGCCCAGACUCCGACGGGAGGCAGCAGUGGGGAAUAUUGCACAAUGGGCGCAAGCCUGAUGCAGCAACGCCGCGUGCGGGAUGACGGCCUUCGGGUUGUAAACCGCUUUCAGCAGGGACGAAGCUUUUUGUGACGGUACCUGCAGAAGAAGCACCGGCUAACUACGUG